RNAcentral lists this non-coding RNA (27 nucleotides) under Mus musculus (house mouse). The record is from RNAcentral. Lineage: Eukaryota; Metazoa; Chordata; Mammalia; Rodentia; Muridae.
UGGAAUUUCCACAGGUCACUGCAUUUC